AUACUUAACCUGGUAGGGGAGAUAACAUGAUCACGAAGGUAGUUUUCCCAAGGCAAGGCUUACCCAUUGCACUCCGGAUGUGCUGACCCCCGCGAUUUCCCCAAAUGUGGGAAACUUGACUGCGUAAUUUGUGGUAGUGGGGGACUGCGUUCGCGCUCUUCCCUG
RNAcentral lists this small nuclear RNA (165 nucleotides) under Carlito syrichta (Philippine tarsier). Its description in RNAcentral is "U1 spliceosomal RNA (ENSTSYG00000020889.2)". It matches the Rfam family "U1 spliceosomal RNA". Rfam says of the family: U1 is a small nuclear RNA (snRNA) component of the spliceosome (involved in pre-mRNA splicing). Lineage: Eukaryota; Metazoa; Chordata; Mammalia; Primates; Tarsiidae. The record is from Rfam by way of RNAcentral.